AGCUAAUACUUGCUUUAGCACUCUUGAUUAAGUUCUUGAGUGUGUACUUGUUAAGCCUUUUAAGAAAAAAGUUAUUAACUUAAGGAAUUAUAACAAAGAAGUAACACGUAAAUGGAUUUUCCAUUUUUUAGUGUGUAUCAAUCGAGUUUCUGACCUAUCAGCUUUUGAUGUUAGGGUAUUGGCCUAACAUGGCUAUGACGGGUAACGGGGAAUUAGAGUUCGAUUCCGGAGAGGGAGCCUGAGAAAUAGCUACCACAUCUAAGGAAGGCAGCAGGCGCGUAAAUUACCCAAUUCUAAAGAAGAGAGGUAGUGACAAGAAAUAACAAUACAAGGCCAAUCUGGCUUUGUAAUUGGAAUGAUGGGAAUUUAAAACCUUCCCAAAACUCAAUUGGAGGGCAAGUCUGGUGCCAGCAGCCGCGGUAAUUCCAGCUCCAAUAGCGUAUAUUAAAAUUGUUGCAGUUAAAACGCUCGUAGUUGAAUUUCAAAGAAUCGAUAUUUUAAGUAACGCUUUGUAGAUUAAUCCACAUAACUGAUACUACGUAUCGACUUUGUGCGCAUUUUUCUACUUAUGUGUUCUUUUAAUUAAAAUGAUUCUUUUUAAGAUCAUUCUUUUUUGCUUCGGCAUUUUAGGAGAUCUUGUUACUUUGAGUAAAUUAGAGUGUUCAAAGCAAACAGAUUAUAGCAUCUUUAUGCGUUUGAAUACUACAGCAUGGAAUAACAAAAUUGAACAAGUCAGAAUUUUGUUCUUUUUUCUUAUUUUGGCUUAGUUACGAUUAAUAGGAGUAGCUUGGGGGCAUUUGUAUUCAGAUGUCAGAGGUGAAAUUCUUAGAUUUUCUGGAGACAAACAACUGCGAAAGCAUUAGCCUAAAAUACUUCCAUUAAUCGAGAACGAAAGUUAAGGGAGUGAAGACGAUCAGACACCGUCGUAAUCUUAACCAUAAACUAUGCCGACUAGGUUUUGGAUGAAAGUAAAACAAAUAAGGAUAGUCUCUUCGGGGAUAGUCCUUAGAUUUCUUCCUUCAGUACCCUAUGAGAAAUCAAAGUCUUUGGGUUCUCAUAAGGCUUUGGAUGAAAGAUUUUAAAAUAAGAGUUUUUUCUCUGAGGAGUUAAAACUCUUAGAUUGCUUCCUUCAGUGCCUUAUGAGAAAUCAAAGUCUUUGGGUUCUGGGGCGAGUAUUCGCGCAAGCGAGAAAGUUAAAAGAAUUGACGGAAGGGCACCACCAGGCGUGGAGCUUGCGGCUUAAUUUGACUCAACACGGGAAAACUCACUAGUUUAAGGCAAGAGUAGGAUUGACAGAUUAAUAGCUCUUUCUUGAUUUCUUGGAUGGUGAUGCAUGGCCGUUUUUAGUUCGUGAAUAUGAUUUGUCUGGUUAAUUCCGAUAACGAACGAGAUCUUAACCUGCUAAUUAGCGGCAAAUACGAUAUAUUCUUAUGUGGAAUUGAAUAUAGUUGAUUUGCUUAUUUUGAAGAAAAUAUUGGGAUACGUAAAUGUAUCCCUUUCCCUUUUCUACUUAAUUUGCUUAUUAUACUAUUUCUUUUUUGCGUAAGAAUGUAUUUGCUUGAUUGUAAAGCUUCUUAGAGGAACGAUGUGUGUCUAACACAAG
This 1603-nucleotide ribosomal RNA is filed under the name Plasmodium sp. RNAcentral's name for it is "SSU rRNA". It matches the Rfam family "Eukaryotic small subunit ribosomal RNA", at positions 162 to 1439 of the family's 1831-position model. The record is from RNAcentral. Lineage: Eukaryota; Apicomplexa; Aconoidasida; Haemosporida; Plasmodiidae.